Molecule: long non-coding RNA, 712 nt
Filed under: Mastacembelus armatus (zig-zag eel)
Lineage: Eukaryota; Metazoa; Chordata; Actinopteri; Synbranchiformes; Mastacembelidae
Description: lncRNA (ENSMAMG00000028689.1)
Source: RNAcentral
GUGCCCAGUCACUGCUGACUCCAUACAUUAAAAGCACAACUACACAGAAAACUUUUUCAUUUCUGAAAAUAUUAAGAAAAGCUCAUAUGCUAGAAAUUUCAUGUAAAUCACAACUGUAUAAUAUAAAGUUUAAAAGUGUUAGCUUUGUGCGUUGUGAAAUGUAUUACAAUUCAGAAAUGUGAGGGCAAAAAACACUUCCUCAAUUUGUUAACACAGAGCAACACAAAAGACCAGAAAUACACCACCCUGCAGUCAGUGGAAAAUUUCAGACCAGUCAACAGCCUGUUUUAGAAGCGAAAAUGAUUUUCUUCUACAUGAUCAUUGCAACUCUGGCAACAUCUCUGGCAAAAGGGGCUUCGGACUGCAAUAUAUCUGAUACUAUUGCAGAUCAGCAGUGCUUUGGAGCACUUGGCGAGCCACUGAUUUUCCACCUACCCCCUCAAAGAAAUAAGACAAGUCUGAAAAAGAAUAGAAAUAUGAUUUUCAUGGUAACUGAUAACACAAAGGUGCUUAUCAAUAAAUACAGGAAUGACUUUGCAUUCUUUCCAAAUGGAACAUUUAGGCUUUACAACACAACAAAGAGAGACUCUGGAGAUUACAAGCUGGAAACAUACAGCUCUACUGAUGGAAUACUAUUGCACAUAAUCAACAUCUCCCUAGAAAUACAAGGUAAGGCCAAAAACAUUAAACGUUAUAUUUUUUUGUUAUUUUU